UCCCUGAUGGUUCACUGAAUAAGAAUCUGCCUGCAAUGCAGGAGACACGGGUUCAAUCCCUGAUCUGGGAA
RNAcentral lists this transfer RNA (71 nucleotides) under Bos taurus (domestic cattle). It matches the Rfam family "tRNA". Rfam says of the family: Transfer RNA (tRNA) molecules are approximately 80 nucleotides in length. Their secondary structure includes four short double-helical elements and three loops (D, anti-codon, and T loops). RNAcentral also lists the same sequence under 5 other names. The record is from Rfam by way of RNAcentral. Lineage: Eukaryota; Metazoa; Chordata; Mammalia; Artiodactyla; Bovidae.